CAGUCGAACGGUAGCACAGAGAGCUUGCUCUCGGGUGACGAGUGGCGGACGGGUGAGUAAUGUCUGGGAAACUGCCCGAUGGAGGGGGAUAACUACUGGAAACGGUAGCUAAUACCGCAUAAUGUCGCAAGACCAAAGAGGGGGACCUUCGGGCCUCUUGCCAUCGGAUGUGCCCAGAUGGGAUUAGCUAGUAGGUGRGGUAACGGCUCACCUAGGCGACGAUCCCUAGCUGGUCUGAGAGGAUGACCAGCCACACUGGAACUGAGACACGGUCCAGACUCCUACGGGAGGCAGCAGUGGGGAAUAUUGCACAAUGGGCGCAAGCCUGAUGCAGCCAUGCCGCGUGUAUGAAGAAGGCCUUCGGGUUGUAAAGUACUUUCAGCGAGGAGGAAGGCRUURAGGUUAAUAACCUYAGYGAUUGACGUUACUCGCAGAAGAAGCACCGGCUAACUCCGUGCCAGCAGCCGCGGUAAUACGGAGGGUGCAAGCGUUAAUCGGAAUUACUGGGCGUAAAGCGCACGCAGGCGGUCUGUCAAGUCGGAUGUGAAAUCCCCGGGCUCAACCUGGGAACUGCAUCCGAAACUGGCAGGCUAGAGUCUUGUAGAGGGGGGUAGAAUUCCA
Molecule: ribosomal RNA, 621 nt
Filed under: Citrobacter freundii
Lineage: Bacteria; Pseudomonadati; Pseudomonadota; Gammaproteobacteria; Enterobacterales; Enterobacteriaceae
Description: bacterial SSU rRNA
Source: RNAcentral